RNAcentral lists this long non-coding RNA (447 nucleotides) under Anser brachyrhynchus (Pink-footed goose). RNAcentral describes it as "lncRNA (ENSABRG00000005850.1)". The record is from RNAcentral. Lineage: Eukaryota; Metazoa; Chordata; Aves; Anseriformes; Anatidae.
GCAGAGUUGCCUGAUAAGUGAAACAUGAAAUAAAGCCUGGAAUUACUGCAAAAUCUUAAGGAGAAAGCAGAACCACGAUGUGGAGAGGAGGAGAGCUUCCCUGGAGCUGCCCUUCCUGAAGCCGUUUUGUCUUCAGGAUACUGAGCACAAGCCCCUUGCUGCUCACUUGGCUCACGGGAGCGCCAGUCGUGGAGCUGCCCCUUGUUUCCCCCAGCGCACGAGCAAGUCUAAUGGAGCACCCGCAGCACACCUGCUCAGCUGUCUGAGAUGCUUCCGAAUUUUGCUUUUUGCGGAGGGAGCUGAGAGCUUGCCUCCUUCCGUAAGUCUGGGCACAGGGAAGGCGAGAGAAAUAUGGGCUGAACUUACUGUCGGCUCUCUUAAAAGCUUUCUAUUGUAGAUAAAAUGUGUGAUAAUGGUACCCAGAACUAUCAUUAUGGUUAAUUAAAG